AGUGGCGAACGGGUGAGUAACAACGUGGGCAACCUGCCCAAAAGAGGGGGAUAACACUUGGAAACAGGUGCUAAUACCGCAUAACCAUAGUUACCGCAUGGUAACUAUGUAAAAGGUGGCUAUGCUACCGCUUUUGGAUGGGCCCGCGGCGCAUUAGCUAGUUGGUGGGGUAAAGGCUUACCAAGGCAAUGAUGCGUAGCCGAACUGAGAGGUUGAUCGGCCACAUUGGGACUGAGACACGGCCCAAACUCCUACGGGAGGCAGCAG
RNAcentral lists this ribosomal RNA (267 nucleotides) under uncultured bacterium. Its description in RNAcentral is "partial 16S ribosomal RNA". It matches the Rfam family "Bacterial small subunit ribosomal RNA", at positions 94 to 354 of the family's 1533-position model. The record is from RNAcentral.